RNAcentral lists this unclassified non-coding RNA (239 nucleotides) under uncultured fungus. RNAcentral describes it as "sequence contains ITS1". Lineage: Eukaryota; Fungi. The record is from RNAcentral.
UUAUUUUUUUUAUACUAAUAAAUCAGACAAUAUAUAUUUCUUCACGAAUUUUUUAUUUGGAUUCUAUCCACUGGCAGCUCCCUAGCUAGUGCCAAAUAAACACAAAACUAGAGGACCAACUUUUUGUAUACACAAUUGCCGGUCUGUCCAAUGGAAGCAACAUGGUAAAUGAUAAACAAAGGGGUUUUUGAUAAUACAAACUAUCAAUAAUGAUCCUUCCGCAGGUUCACCUACGGAAA